UGAACGCUAGCGGCAGGCUUAACACAUGCAGGCGAGGGGCAGCGUGGAGUAGCAAUACUCUGACGGCGACCGGCGAAAGGGUGAGUAACGCGUGAGCAACAUGCCCGGUAGUGGAGAAUAGUCGAUGGAAACGUCGCGUAAUACUCCGUAACAUAGAGAACCGCAUGAUUUUUCUAUUAAUAGAUUUAUCGCUACCGGAUUGGCUCGCGUACCAUUAGCUAGUUGGCGGGGUAACGGCCCACCAAGGCGACGAUGGUUAGGGGUUCUGAGAGGAAGGUCCCCCACAUUGGAACUGAGACACGGUCCAGACUCCUACGGGAGGCAGCAGUGAGGAAUAUUGGACAAUGGCCGAGAGGCUGAUCCAGCCAUGCCGCGUGCCGGGAAGACGGCCCUAUGGGUUGUAAACCGCUUUUGUUGGGGAGCAAUAAGGUCCACGUGUGGAUCGAUGAGAGUACCCAGCGAAUAAGCAUCGGCUAACUCCGUGCCAGCCGCCGC
This 495-nucleotide ribosomal RNA is filed under the name uncultured bacterium. Its description in RNAcentral is "bacterial SSU rRNA". It matches the Rfam family "Bacterial small subunit ribosomal RNA", at positions 30 to 518 of the family's 1533-position model. The record is from RNAcentral.